GACGAACGCUGGCGGCGUGCUUAACACAUGCAAGUCGAACGGAAAGGCCCUGCUUUUGUGGGGUGCUCGAGUGGCGAACGGGUGAGUAACACGUGAGUAACCUGCCCUUGACUUUGGGAUAACUUCAGGAAACUGGGGCUAAUACCGGAUAGGAGCUCCUGCUGCAUGGUGGGGGUUGGAAAGUUUCGGCGGUUGGGGAUGGACUCGCGGCUUAUCAGCUUGUUGGUGGGGUAGUGGCUUACCAAGGCUUUGACGGGUAGCCGGCCUGAGAGGGUGACCGGCCACAUUGGGACUGAGAUACGGCCCAGACUCCUACGGGAGGCAGCAGUGGGGAAUAUUGCACAAUGGGCGGAAGCCUGAUGCAGCAACGCCGCGUGCGGGAUGACGGCCUUCGGGUUGUAAACCGCUUUCGCCUGUGACGAAGCGUGAGUGACGGUAAUGGGUAAAGAAGCACCGGCUAACUACGUGCCUGCAGCCGCGGUGAUACGUAGGGUGCGAGCGUUGUCCGGAUUUAUUGGGCGUAAAGGGCUCGUAGGUGGUUGAUCGCGUCGGAAGUGUAAUCUUGGGGCUUAACCCUGAGCGUGCUUUCGAUACGGGUUGACUUGAGGAAGGUAGGGGAGAAUGGAAUUCCUGGUGGAGCGGUGGAAUGCGCAGAUAUCAGGAGGAACACCAGUGGCGAAGGCGGUUCUCUGGGCCUUUCCUGACGCUGAGGAGCGAAAGCGUGGGGAGCGAACAGGCUUAGAUACCCUGGUAGUCCACGCUGUAAACGGUGGGUACUAGGUGUGGGGUCCAUUCCACGGGUUCCGUGCCGUAGCUAACGCUUUAAGUACCCCGCCUGGGGAGUACGGCCGCAAGGCUAAAACUCAAAGGAAUUGACGGGGCCCCGCACAAGCGGCGGAGCAUGCGGAUUAAUUCGAUGCAACGCGUAGAACCUUACCUGGGUUUGACAUGGAUCGGGAGUGCUCAGAGAUGGGUGUGCCUCUUUUGGGGUCGGUUCACAGGUGGUGCAUGGCUGUCGUCAGCUCGUGUCGUGAGAUGUUGGGUUAAGUCCCGCAACGAGCGCAACCCUUGUUCACUGUUGCCAGCACGUUAUGGUGGGGACUCAGUGGAGACCGCCGGGGUCAACUCGGAGGAAGGUGGGGAUGACGUCAAGUCAUCAUGCCCCUUAUGUCCAGGGCUUCACGCAUGCUACAAUGGCUGGUACAGAGAGUGGCGAGCCUGUGAGGGUGAGCGAAUCUCGGAAAGCCGGUCUCAGUUCGGAUUGGGGUCUGCAACUCGACCUCAUGAAGUCGGAGUCGCUAGUAAUCGCAGAUCAGCAACGCUGCGGUGAAUACGUUCCCGGGGCU
RNAcentral lists this ribosomal RNA (1346 nucleotides) under uncultured bacterium. RNAcentral describes it as "partial 16S ribosomal RNA". It matches the Rfam family "Bacterial small subunit ribosomal RNA", at positions 28 to 1381 of the family's 1533-position model. The record is from RNAcentral.